This 340-nucleotide ribosomal RNA is filed under the name uncultured Spirochaetota bacterium. Its description in RNAcentral is "bacterial SSU rRNA". It matches the Rfam family "Bacterial small subunit ribosomal RNA", at positions 29 to 351 of the family's 1533-position model. Lineage: Bacteria; Pseudomonadati; Spirochaetota. The record is from RNAcentral.
AACGAACGCUGGCGGCGCGUUUUAAACAUGCAAGUCGAACGAGAAUCCCGAUGCUUGCAUUGGGAGGAGAGUGGCGAACGGGUGAGUAACACGUGGAUAAUCUACCUCCAGGAUUGGGAUAACCAUUCGAAAGGAUGGCUAAUACCGAAUAACAUGGCGGUUUCAUAAGUGACAGCCAUUAAAGGUGGGGACCGCAAGGCCUAUCACCAGGAGAUGAGUCCGCGGCCCAUUAGCUAGUUGGCGGGGUAAUGGCCCACCAAGGCGACGAUGGGUAGCCGGCCUGAGAGGGUGACCGGCCACAUUGGGACUGAGAUACGGCCCAGACUCCUACGGGUGGCAG